CGGACGCAAGCACGCACACACGCACUCCCAAGUAUAGGACCAAGCCGAAACAGGGUGGCAGAUACCUUGUAUUUAAGAGGAGAAUGAAUUUUAAAGGUCAGAGACAUGAGUCCUGGAUCUACUGGCUGCGUCCCAGCCUCUGAUUCUGUGAUGCUGGGAUGGGUGCUUUGCUCUUCAAGGUUUUUAUGAUAAAUGUUGUCUGGAACACUUUGUAAGGCGACUCAUAAGAUCCCUCUGUUUAUUACCUGGGAGCUACUUCAAAGGCCACUCAUUAGUCCAAAUGACGCACUAGCUGACGAUGACUCUGGGAUAUUAAUCGGGCUUGCCGACCUCAUCGUGCUCUAAGAAACCAAGACUUGAGGUCUUGAAUUCUAGUUUCAACACUUUGCGGACAGCGUUGAAUGGUCCUGCUACGGGACUCUGUAGCCAGAGCAGCGGAUGACGCAUCGUCACGCCCCCUGUCAGUACGUCCUGGUUGGAGCUAAGCACAGACUGUACUCUGCGCUGUUAACAGGGACUGCAGGCUGUGCCAGAGGUUCAUCUGCCAGCAGCUGAUUGAUGGGAUAAACAGAAGAGAGUGCAAGACAGACACGCCUUGCUUCUGCCUUUGGCAGGUGGUAAUCAAUCUACCAGCUUCCCAGAGGAAAAGACCCCGAACCUUGAAAUGGAGGAGGAGCCUCUCCCGCCAAGAUCUUAGCUGCGACACAAGAUCUCCUAUACUCAGGGGGAAAGCCACCGUGGGUCAGAGUGUGUUCUCCAAGGGUGGCGACGAAACCCCUUUUUAAAAAAUGUAUGUGGCUCCCGUGGAGGCAUUACUGUCCUCGGGUAUUUCUUGAGGUCUUCUUCCCUCCAGUGCCGGCUUUGUUUACUUAAAACUUCUUCUACAUUUUCUUUUCUGACCUCCCGCAUCUUUGGACUCUGUGGCCCAGUAGGCGUAUGUCUGACAGAACAGUAGACCCAGUCCGGGAAACACCUGAGUAUUUUCUUGUUCUGUAGAGGCUGGAAGUCCCCGCCACAGCUGCUGCCAGGUCCAGUUUCUGCUGGUGAAGCCAAUGAAAUAUGAGUCUCUGGGGACCCUGGAGGACUGUUGUUAGAAGGUACCUUUCUGUCAAGCGGAGUUAUACACGUGAUAAUUAGUGUCCGGCAAUUGAUCACUCAAAUCUUCUCUGAGAAAUUGCUGUAAUUAUGUGUUUUGUGUGCCUCUGCCAAGCUUGGGAUGAAUGAACACUCCAUGAAGAUCGCCUCAGAUUCUUUUGUAUCUGACAAAUGCAUGCCAUUCUAUGGACCUAGGGCUAAGGCCUGGACUCCUAUGCUAGCCAAGUGGGCUAAUUUUGAUUGUCAUCUUGAUCAGAUUAAGAAACAUCUAAGAGUUUCCUAAGUUUUACCAUGAGGACUCUAACCUAAUAGAUGGCUUAGUACGUCAUCUGAAUGGAUCCUUGGGGAAUGGUGAAGAACCCUGCCUCGCUGGAGGAAGCAGGCCUCUGGGGGCCACAUCUUGUCCUUAUCACUUCCUGUUCUGCUUCUCUCUUGUCUUCCACGGAGCCAACAGCUCCUUUCCACCGCAGGCUUCCAUUCUCCCCAAAUGUGUGGUUUUAAAUGACUGUGAAUAAAGUCUUCUGAAGCUGUGA
RNAcentral lists this small RNA (1628 nucleotides) under Rattus norvegicus (Norway rat). RNAcentral describes it as "uncharacterized LOC102547881". Lineage: Eukaryota; Metazoa; Chordata; Mammalia; Rodentia; Muridae. The record is from RNAcentral.